This is a long non-coding RNA of Salvia miltiorrhiza (redroot sage), 1231 nucleotides long. RefSeq lists it as uncharacterized. The record is from RefSeq and is a predicted model, not a curated record. The transcript is spliced from 2 exons. Lineage: Eukaryota; Viridiplantae; Streptophyta; Magnoliopsida; Lamiales; Lamiaceae.
GAGAGAAGACUCAAGACUGAGGAGUCAAGAGAUACUUGUCUGAGUCAACGUUGACUUUUGUCCCCAUCUCUCUCUCAAUAAUUCUCCUAAAAUUCACUCCCCAAAAUCUAUCAAUUCAUUCCCCAAUCUCAUAAACCCUAUACCCCCCAACUUGAUGAACAUUCAUCUUUCUAUAUUUGGGACCAAAUUCCUUUCGGAUCUUCCUUGAUUCUCCGAAAAUUCGAAACCCUGCUUGAUCCAUUCCCAAUUUCAACCAACGAUUGAUUUUUCCCUCUCAUUAUUUUUGUGAUUGAUUCAAUUUCGCUCAAUAAAAUAGUUAAUUCGAAAGCUUUGAUUCGUAUGGAUUCAUCGAUUUUGACUCUAGUCGUCGCUCUUCUAUUCGCAUUCACCGCAGAAUCGCAACGAAUCCCCGACCGCCGCCCGCCUCCACCGCCGGCAUCACCACCACUGCCGCCGUCUCUUGUUUCGCCACCAUGGCCGCCGCCGUCGCCGUCGCCCCCUCACCUCCACCCGCCUACGAAACCCCCAGCGCAUAAAUUGAAUCGACAUUUGAGCCCACCGCCGCAAUUGAGGAAAACGAAUAAGGGGAAGAAAAUUGGGCUGAUGUUUGUCGGAGUUGCUUCAAUUCUGCAAGUUUGCAUUGUGGUGUUCUUACUGAUCAGCAGAAGGCAGCUCUUCAAGGCUCAAAAUGGCUAUCAGAGAAAUUGAACAGUUCAUUUCCCAAAUCCAAAUACUUGGUUUGUGGCUUGAAGCUGCAUUGAGGGAGCAAUGUUGCUGAGAAUGAAUGGCACUACCUCCGAUUUGCAGAACUUAUAAUUCGUCGUGUGAUCUAACGGCCCUCGUUGUACGUCGGAUACUCAGGUGCUGCAGCUGCCGUUGAUGAACGAAGUGACUUGCAUUCUAUGUAGAGCAACUUCAAAAGUGGUGAUCAAGAUUCAAGAUGAGUGCUGCAAGAGAAAAUGCUGUGUACGAAUUCAGUGAGGCGGGCUUCACGGCCCGGAUGGACCUGCAGGUUGUUUCCGGCCUUAGAGCGGGCCGGAAACUAUAUAUGUGUAUUCAAUUUCAUACAUGAAUGUGUGCAUAUUUUGACGUAGUACUGAGCGUAACUGAAAUAUUUAAAAAUAAUUAUAUAUGGAGUAUUAGAUAUUUUUAUAAUUUAGACAAUGUUUGUAAAAAAAAUUUCCUACAACAAAAUUAUCAUAACAUAUUCUAAUUUAACAUUGUUAUUUCA